UUGGCUACAGCACCUGUCUUGUAAACAGGAGAUCCUGGGUUCAAUUCCCAGUGGUGCCUUGCUGUGGCC
Pelodiscus sinensis (Chinese soft-shelled turtle) is the source of this 69-nucleotide microRNA precursor. Lineage: Eukaryota; Metazoa; Chordata; Testudines; Trionychidae. The record is from Ensembl.